Molecule: long non-coding RNA, 1125 nt
Filed under: Phascolarctos cinereus (koala)
Lineage: Eukaryota; Metazoa; Chordata; Mammalia; Diprotodontia; Phascolarctidae
Description: lncRNA (ENSPCIG00000022085.2)
Source: RNAcentral
ACGGCCUGGGCGCGGGCCCGGCGGCGGCGAGGGCGGCGGCGGCGGGGCGGGCGCGGACCUGGGCUCCGGGCUCCAGGCGGCGGCGGCGGGGGGCGCCCGGCAGGGCCCCGGGCGGCGGAGAGGGCGGGCGCCGGUUACCUGCGGUCCCGGACGGAGAGUCUCUCGGAGUCCCAGUCAGCCCUCAGCCCCGACAACACAAGAUGGCCGCCACGUCGCCGCGCGCCGGCACGUGACGUGACGCGGCGCAACGCGACGCGAUGCAAAGCGACGGGACGGGAACGGAAUCACCGCCCCCUCCCCGCUUGCCUUCAGUGGCAAAGCGCGCAUGCCCCGCAGACGCACUGGCGCCCCAGCCGCCGAGGCGGCCAUCUUCGUAGUUCCAUGCCCGCUCUCGAGACAGAGGAGCCUGGCAGCUAGAGCGGACGCUUCCUAGCUGUGUGACCCUGGGCAAGUCACUUCCCCGUUUGCCUAAGAAGGAAAUGGCGAACCAGUCCAGCAUCCUUGCCAAGAAAACCCCAGAUGGGUUACCAAUGUCCCCCUGGACUAAACAGUAACAAGAGGAGCCUGGUAACUCAGGGCACCUAGGUGCCAACGGAGAUCCUGUUCACCAAUUACUCUGCCAGUCAAGCAUUUAUUAAGCACCUACUGUGGACGAGCUAGCUGACAAGCAUUUAUUUACUCCCUCUCCUGCCAGGCGCAAUGCUGAGUGCUAAGGGUAUGAAUAAGAACAAAACAGGCCUGCCCUCGAGAACCUGAAGUUCCCUCUGGGUGACACGAAGCAAACAGAUACAAGGUAAUUCUGGUGGAGAAGCAGCUGGAGAUGGGCAAAAGGCUUCGUGCAGGAGAGUCCUUGAAGACUUGCUACCUUUGACUGGCAGUUCCAACUCUUAUUAUUCAGGGGCAAACUUUAUGGUCUGGGAACUUCCCAGGUUCUCCUUUGUUAUUCACUUUAUCACUUUCCCUUUUAAAAAGUAUUCGUGUUUCUUUGAUGCCUUUUUUUUUUACAUCAAGUAAUUUGCAGAUACUACCCUCAUCUCCCCCUCACCUGCACCCCCCCCCCCGUGAACCUUAUUUUUCUUAAAUUUUAUUUUUAAUACAUGGAAUAAAACAAGCAUUUCUAUAACA